Molecule: ribosomal RNA, 253 nt
Filed under: uncultured bacterium
Lineage: Bacteria
Description: partial 16S ribosomal RNA
Rfam family: Bacterial small subunit ribosomal RNA
Source: RNAcentral
UACGGAGGGAGCUAGCGUUAUUCGGAAUUACUGGGCGUAAAGCGCACGUAGGCGGCUUUGUAAGUAAGAGGUGAAAGCCCAGAGCUCAACUCUGGAAUUGCCUUUUAGACUGCAUCGCUUGAAUCAUGGAGAGGUCAGUGGAAUUCCGAGUGUAGAGGUGAAAUUCGUAGAUAUUCGUAAGAACACCAGUGGCGAAGGCGACUUUCUGGCUCGAUACUGACGCUAAGGCGCGAAAGCGUGGGGAGCAAACAGG